UCAGGCCUAACACAUGCAAGUCGAGGGGUAGAACAUUUCGGUGUUUGAGACCGGCGCACGGGUGCGUAACGCGUAUGCAACCUACCUUUUACAGGGGAAUAGCCCGGAGAAAUUUGGAUUAAUGCCCCAUGGUAUAUUUAGAUGGCAUCAUCUGAUUAUUAAAGUUCCAACGGUAAAAGAUGGGCAUGCGUCCUAUUAGCUAGAUGGUAAGGUAACGGCUUACCAUGGCAACGAUAGGUAGGGGUCCUGAGAGGGAGAUCCCCCACACUGGUACUGAGACACGGACCAGACUCCUACGGGAGGCAGCAGUGAGGAAUAUUGGACAAUGGGCGCAAGCCUGAUCCAGCCAUGCCGCGUGCAGGAAGAAGCAUCUAUGGUGUGUAAAGCUGCUUUUGUACGGGAAGAAAC
Molecule: ribosomal RNA, 408 nt
Filed under: uncultured bacterium
Lineage: Bacteria
Description: bacterial SSU rRNA
Rfam family: Bacterial small subunit ribosomal RNA
Source: RNAcentral